UUGAAGCACUGCCUGUUAUUUUUCUAACAUACGGCUAUAGAGGUGAGAUUGGCGAACAAAUUAAAGCAUUGACCUAAAGCCAAAAGAAGGAGCUUAUUGCAUCUCAUUAUGGCGUCAAACUACGAUGAUUCGACUGAUCGCUUCAUGCGGGAGUACGCUAAAAUACGAGACAAAUGCUUACGCGAGUGCAUUCCCGCCACCAGAUUGUAUUCGGAGCUAAGACCCAUAGAGAUUCGCUGUAUAAAAUACUUUGUGGUUAAUGGCCUACGGGAAGCAGAGAAGGCAAAAAUCAAAAAAAUCGGGAGAAUCAGAGAACAAAUCUA
This is a long non-coding RNA of Schistocerca gregaria, 323 nucleotides long. RefSeq lists it as uncharacterized. The transcript has 3 exons. The record is from RefSeq and is a predicted model, not a curated record. Lineage: Eukaryota; Metazoa; Arthropoda; Insecta; Orthoptera; Acrididae.